AUGGCAAGAAAUGAUUUCGGAUUUGGUUCUUUGAUCAUAGAUAUCAAGCUUGAUGGUUCAAACUACAGGGAAUGGGCAUUUUCUGCCCGGACUGUCUUGAGGACGGCUGGUUUUGUUUCUCAUCUGACAGAUGAUCCACCUAGUCCAAAUGAUGAUGCAGCAAGGAAGUCUUGGCAAAAGAUCGAUGAUCGUGUGAUGGGAGUUUUAAUUCUGGGUGUUGAACCCUCACUCCGAAUGAGUCUUGAGCAUCACACUUCAGCUAAAGAGAUAUGGAAGCACUUUGAGCAGCGCUACCUUCAGCCCAGCAGUGCACUUCAUUUCUCCUGGUUGCAGAAUUUACACAACACUCGGCAGCCAGAAGACAUGUCCAUAGAAGAGUACUAUGGAGCUUUCACUCGCAUCACUGGGCAGCUAGGUUCCAUGGUUCCAAAGGGUAAUUCUGGUUGUGAGUCAUGUGCAGCGAAGGAAAAGUACGACCAUCAAACUCUCAUGUUUCAGUUUGUGAUGGGUCUCAAGCCAGACUUUGAGAACAUUCGCACUCAAUUGCUUGGUCGUACGACUCCUCCCACCUUGACAGAGGCACUUGCUAGCUUGAUCGCUGAGGAGACUCGUCUCCGUUUUCUUGGGACUACUUCUGCGCAGACUCUACACACUAGUGUUCUGGCUUUUCCUCAGCGGCCAGGUGCCUCCAAGGGCACACCUUCAGCUGUCAUCUGCUCGUUCUGCAAGAAGGCAGGACACCAUAGAGAUGGUUGUUUCAAGCUUCAUCCAGAGCUGUUAGCUGAGUUUCAGGCUAGACGGGCCCUCAAUCAGCAGCGUCGUGCACCCCAGGCUCCUUAUCAGCAGCAAGCGAGGGGUGCUUCUGCAUCUGUUCUCUCUCAGCCCGCCGUUGCUGCAACCCAGCCUUGGGUUCUGGACUCUGGAGCUUCUUUCCAUGUGACCUCUGAUCGCUCUCAGCUUGUGUCUUGCCAGCCAGUGCGGGAUGGUGCCUCUGUUCAGACUGCUGAUGGACCGUCAGAGCAAGAGGGUCAUUGGAACUGGCCAUCGCCGUAG
Molecule: ribosomal RNA, 1053 nt
Filed under: Triticum aestivum (bread wheat)
Lineage: Eukaryota; Viridiplantae; Streptophyta; Magnoliopsida; Poales; Poaceae
Description: partial small subunit ribosomal RNA
Source: RNAcentral